Molecule: unclassified non-coding RNA, 217 nt
Filed under: Hevea brasiliensis (rubber tree)
Lineage: Eukaryota; Viridiplantae; Streptophyta; Magnoliopsida; Malpighiales; Euphorbiaceae
Source: RNAcentral
UAUCAGUUUCAUCAUUUCCCAUUUCCUUUGCUCCAUUUUGUUUCAAUCUCCAUCUCCCCCUCUAUUUAUCUAGCACAAGUCUCUGUAAUUCUCUGAUACCAAAAUCCCAAUGGCUCGAUCACUGUUGUUGCUCGCCCUCUGCGCUCCUCCGGCACUCGUGAGCGCCGCUCGCCCCCAAAGAACCCCAUUUGAAGUGGAGGGUCGUGUGUUCUGUGAC